GGGAGAAGACGGCCUUUCGGAUUGUAAACCUCUUUCAGUAGGGAAGAAGCCUUUGGGGGACGGUACCUGCAGAAGAAGUNCCGGCUAACUACGUGCCAGCAGCCGCGGUAAUACGUAGGGUACAAGCGUUGUCCGGAAUUAUUGGGCGUAAAGAGCUCGUAGGUGGUUUGUCGCGUCUGCUGUGGAAUCGUGCCGCUUAACGGUGCGCGUGCAGUGGGUACGGGCAGACUGGAGUGCAGUAGGGGAGUCUGGAAUUCCUGGUGUAGCGGUGAAAUGCGCAGAUAUCAGGAGGAACACCGGUGGCGAAGGCGGGACUCUGGGCUGUUACUGACGCUGAGGAGCGAAAGCAUGGGGAGCGAACAGGAUUAGAUACCCUGGUAGUCCAUGCCGUAAACGUUGGGAACUAGGUGUGGGGUCCAUUCCACGGAUUCCGCGCCGUAGCUAACGCAUUAAGUUCCCCGCCUGGGGAGUACGGCCGCAAGGCUAAAACUCAAAGGAAUUGACGGGGGCCCGCACAAGCGGCGGAGCAUGCGGAUUAAUUCGAUGCAACGCGAAGAACCUUACCAAGGCUUGACAUGCACUGGAAUCGCCUAGAGAUAGGUGCGCCCUUUGGGGCUGGUGUACAGGUGGUGCAUGGUUGUCGUCAGCUCGUGUCGUGAGAUGUUGGGUUAAGUCCCGCAACGAGCGCAACCCUCGUUCUAUGUUGCCAGCACGUGAUGGUGGGAACUCAUAGGAGACUGCCGGGGUCAACUCGGAGGAAGGUGGGGAUGACGUCAAAUCAUCAUGCCCUUUAUGUCUUGGGCUUCACGCAUGCUACAAUGGUCGGUACAGAGGGUGGCGAUGCCGUGAGGUGGAGCGAAUCCCUUAAAGCCGGUCUCAGUUCGGAUCGUAGUCUGCAACUCGACUACGUGAAGUCGGAGUCGCUAGUAAUCGCAGAUCAGCAACGCUGCGGUGAAUACGUUCCCGGGCCUUGUACACACCGCCCGUCAAGUCACGAAAGUCGGUAACACCCGAAGCCGGUGGCCUAACCUGUGUGGGGGAGCCG
This 1045-nucleotide ribosomal RNA is filed under the name Brevibacterium sp. RNAcentral describes it as "bacterial SSU rRNA". It matches the Rfam family "Bacterial small subunit ribosomal RNA", at positions 403 to 1455 of the family's 1533-position model. Lineage: Bacteria; Bacillati; Actinomycetota; Actinomycetes; Micrococcales; Brevibacteriaceae. The record is from RNAcentral.